AGAGAUGCAUUGGGCGUAAAGCGUGCGCAGGCGGUUUUGUAAGACAGAGGUGAAAUCCCCGGGCUCAACCUGGGAGCUGCCUUUGUGACUGCAAGGCUGGAGUGCGGCAGAGGGGGAUGGAAUUCCGCGUGUAGCAGUGAAAUGCGUAGAUAUGCGGAGGAACACCGAUGGCGAAGGCAAUCCCCUGGGCCUGCACUGACGCUCAUGCACGAAAGCGUGGGGAGCAAACA
Molecule: ribosomal RNA, 230 nt
Filed under: uncultured Alicycliphilus sp.
Lineage: Bacteria; Pseudomonadati; Pseudomonadota; Betaproteobacteria; Burkholderiales; Comamonadaceae
Description: partial 16S ribosomal RNA
Rfam family: Bacterial small subunit ribosomal RNA
Source: RNAcentral